GAUUAAAUGGCUGAAGUUUAGGCAAUAGACUGUAAAUCUAUUUAUAAGAAUUUAUUUCUUUUUAAUCA
This 68-nucleotide transfer RNA is filed under the name Piophila casei. RNAcentral's name for it is "tRNA-Tyr". It matches the Rfam family "tRNA". Rfam says of the family: Transfer RNA (tRNA) molecules are approximately 80 nucleotides in length. The record is from RNAcentral. RNAcentral also lists the same sequence under 1 other name. Lineage: Eukaryota; Metazoa; Arthropoda; Insecta; Diptera; Piophilidae.